AUUUCAUAAUCCUUAGGGCUACUGAUACUUGAAACUAGUACUCAAGUAACUGAUAAGUCCUAUCGGCCUCUAGUUUAAAAACGUUAACGUUUUUGGCAGCUUUACAUGUUGCGGAAGGUCAUUCCACAAACUGGCUGCAACGUGCGUUCUCUAAAAGACUGUACGAAUUUUUGGCACAGUGAGUCUCAGAUCUAAGUGGUCGAGAUGGAGAAUACACGCCAAUGACAUCUUGUAGAUAUUCGGGAACCCAUCCCGACAGCAUGCAGAAGGUGUUGUACUUCUGGAAAAGGAAAAGCGUAUUUGUUGGAAGAUGGAUAAAGAAAAAUUGGAGCAUGCACUAUACUUCUUUAAAUCCUGCUUUUUUAUCAGGUAACAUCAUUGUGUACAAAAGAAAUGCGCCUUCACAGUAAUACGGGGCCAUGUUAUUUAGGAUUUUAACUACUUGUCCUUCAUCACAAGCUUAAAAAGACUUCACAAUCUGACUGCAGAUGGAACUGCAUGGUUUGAAACCCUCAUAGGAAUUCUGAGAAGCAUGGAGACCUUUAAACCAGAUAAUGACAAGAUUUCCCAGUUCGAGGAGUACCAGGAAAAUUUACUUGCAGCAAAAUUGUACCUAAAGACAGACGCACUCAAGCAUGAAUGUAGAAUAAUUUCAAAGAUGUAGAAUAUAUAUAUAUAUAUAUAUAUAUAUAUAUAUAUAUAUAUAUAUAGAGAGAGAGAGAGAGAGAGAGAGAGAGAGAGAGAGAGAGAGAGAGAAUGAUAUGGUGAAAUAUUUAAACUCAAUGUCUUCAAUGGGUCUGGCAUGUAAGUAGAGAAUCAUGAUUCACAUGGUCAUAUAUUUCAAUUAUACUCUCAUUUUAGUGCAAUGGCGUUGUACAAAUAAAUAUUUUAAGUGUU
Long non-coding RNA from Ostrea edulis (European flat oyster), 897 nucleotides. RefSeq lists it as uncharacterized. The record is from RefSeq and is a predicted model, not a curated record. NCBI's taxonomy places the organism in Eukaryota, Metazoa, Mollusca, Bivalvia, Ostreida, Ostreidae. The transcript is spliced from 4 exons.